CAGGCUUACUUCCCACCUGAGCUCUUCACCUGUGGCAGGUUCUACGCUGUCUCUACAAACGUCUGGGCUCUAGGAGUGUUGUUGUAUGAGAUGGUGAACACAUGUUCUCCAUUUUGCAAUAUAACGGAAAUCAAGCAAGCCGAAAUUAGGUUUGAAAACCCAGAUUUAUCCAAAGAAUGCCGUGAUCUGAUUGUCCAAUGUCUAAACCGUGAUCCUACUGAACGGCUGACCCUCGAGCAGAUCUUGCAGCAUGACUGGUUUAAAACAGUGGAUCUAGAAGAGUCAGAGGAUAGCAACAGCAUUGGUUUCAAAGUUGAGCCAGUGUAACAGACAGAGUAGGAAACUACAACUGUGUUGUCACCUUCAAUUCUGAAUCAUAUAUAAUGUAGAUUUAAAAUAUGAUCAGUGAAGGUUGGACACACACCGUCCAGUGAAAAAAACACUAUGAAUUUACAUGCUGAUGGAGAUUGGAAACUCAAGCCCUCAUGUGAGCCCACUACUAAAGAAUCAGAGAGCUCAGAGCACCCCUGAAUUCAGAGCUGGUCCACAUCCUUACAGUCCCGUCUGAAUCUGAGCAUCUAUAGUUCUAGUCAUCAGAGCCUUAAGUGCUUUUA
This is a long non-coding RNA of Carassius gibelio (silver crucian carp), 614 nucleotides long. RefSeq lists it as uncharacterized. The record is from RefSeq and is a predicted model, not a curated record. Lineage: Eukaryota; Metazoa; Chordata; Actinopteri; Cypriniformes; Cyprinidae. The transcript has 3 exons.